Molecule: non-coding RNA, 338 nt
Organism: Cinara cedri
Lineage: Eukaryota; Metazoa; Arthropoda; Insecta; Hemiptera; Aphididae
Source: the annotation of a GenBank genome assembly
UUGAAUCGGAGCGUAGCGAGGGAUCUAUUAGUUUUACCGUGAUGUUUGUAAUUUUUUUUUCUGUCUGUAAACAACUUUUCUAUCAGAAAACUUGCUUCGAAAUAUAGACAGUAGCCAGUGGCGGAUUUACGGAUUGGCGGGAUCCAGACGGACUGGACAUCCCCUCCAGACACCGAUAUAAUUUCAAUAAAAUAUCGUCCAAAAAAAGGGGCAUCUAUUAACAGAAAUACCUUUUAAAUACAUAUGAUUUUUCAGGGCCCCAUCCAGAAAAAUGUUGAAAAUCUGCUACUGACUGCAGUACCUUUUCCGAAAGAGAAUUUUCUCUCUUUGAUUGCAUC